AGUGUGCCGUUGCUGGCUCUGAGAAGUAGGAGCCUUGUGCAAGGAUUCAGGAGAGGCCUCUAGAAACUGAGGAUGGCCCUCAACUGGCAAGCACAGGCAACUGAAUUCGGCCAGGCAUCUGGGUCCUGUGCUAGGGGCUAGGAAGACAAAGAGAAACAGAGUCACAUCCUCCCACAAAAAUCCAUGAGAUGUCGGAGAGCCGAACUUGUAAACAGCCAUCAUCAACACAAAGAAGGAUGCACUGAUGCUCUCUAGAGGCUCACAGGAAAUGAUUCAUGGGCAUAGAGAUGUGGAACCUACGGACAUGGAGGGCCAACUUCACAUAUAAUGAAAUAUUAUUUGGCCGUAAAAAGGAAGGAAAUCCUGCCAUUUAUGACAACAUGGAUGGACCUGGAGGACAUUAUGCUAAGUGAAAUAAGCUAGACACAGGAAGCCAAAUACUGCCUCAUCUCACUUCUGUAUAAAACCUAAACUAGUUAAACACAUAGAAGCAGAGAAUAGAAUGGUAGUUGCCAGGAGCUGGAGGGAAGGGGAAAUGGGGAAGUAUUGGCCAAAGAGUUCAAUUUGUGUAAAGUUUCAGUGUGCAAAAUAAGUAAAUUCUGGAAACCUCCUGUGCGAUAUAGGGCAUAUGAUUAACACCACUAUAUUGUGUUUUAAAAAAUUUGCUAAGAAGGUAGAUUAAGAAAAACAAAGAAAACCAAAAAACCCAAAGGCAGCAGAAGGACACUUUUGGAGAUAAUGGAAAAGUUUAUGGCAUUAAUAUUGGUAGUGAUGAUGGUUACAUGGGUGUAUGCUUAUCUCCAAACACAUCGAGUUGUAUACAUUAAAUAUCUAUAGCUUCUUGUAUGUCAAUUAUAUCUCAAUAAAGCGGUUUAA
Molecule: long non-coding RNA, 876 nt
Filed under: Homo sapiens (human)
Lineage: Eukaryota; Metazoa; Chordata; Mammalia; Primates; Hominidae
Description: HSALNT0331955
Source: RNAcentral